UACGUAGGGUGCAAGCGUUAAUCGGAAUUACUGGGCGUAAAGCGUGCGCAGGCGGUUAUGUAAGACAGAUGUGAAAUCCCCGGGCUCAACCUGGGAACUGCAUUUGUGACUGCAUAGCUAGAGUACGGUAGAGGGGGAUGGAAUUCCGCGUGUAGCAGUGAAAUGCGUAGAUAUGCGGAGGAACACCGAUGGCGAAGGCAAUCCCCUGGACCUGUACUGACGCUCAUGCACGAAAAGCGUGGGGAGCAAACAGG
RNAcentral lists this ribosomal RNA (254 nucleotides) under uncultured bacterium. RNAcentral's name for it is "partial 16S ribosomal RNA". It matches the Rfam family "Bacterial small subunit ribosomal RNA", at positions 524 to 776 of the family's 1533-position model. The record is from RNAcentral.